CCUUCGAUAGCUCAGUUGGCAGAGCGGGGGACUGUAGAGGUACCUAAUCGAAAUCCCUAGGUCGCUGGUUCAAAUCCGGCUCGAAGGA
Paramuricea clavata is the source of this 88-nucleotide non-coding RNA. Lineage: Eukaryota; Metazoa; Cnidaria; Anthozoa; Malacalcyonacea; Plexauridae. The record is from the annotation of a GenBank genome assembly.